CGGGAGGCAGCAGUGAGGAAUAUUGGUCAAUGGGCGAGAGCCUGAACCAGCCAAGUAGCGUGCAGGAUGACGGCCCUAUGGGUUGUAAACUGCUUUUAUAAGGGAAUAAAGUGAGCCUCGUGAGGCUUUUUGCAUGUACCUUAUGAAUAAGGACCGGCUAAUUCCGUGCCAGCAGCCGCGGUAAUACGGAAGGUCCGGGCGUUAUCCGGAUUUAUUGGGUUUAAAGGGAGCGUAGGCCGGAGAUUAAGCGUGUUGUGAAAUGUAGAUGCUCAACAUCUGCACUGCAGCGCGAACUGGUUUCCUUGAGUACGCACAAAGUGGGCGGAAUUCGUGGUGUAGCGGUGAAAUGCUUAGAUAUCACGAAGAACUCCGAUUGCGAAAGCAGCUCACUGGAGCGCAACUGACGCUGAAGCUCGAAAGUGCGGGUAUCGAACAGGAUUAGAUACCCUGGUAGUCCGCACGGUAAACGAUGGAUGCCCGCUGUUGGUCUGAAUAGGUCAGCGGCCAAGCGAAAGCAUUAAGCAUCCCACCUGGGGAGUACGCCGGCAACGGUGCAACUCAAAGGAAUUGACGGA
This 575-nucleotide ribosomal RNA is filed under the name uncultured organism. RNAcentral's name for it is "bacterial SSU rRNA". It matches the Rfam family "Bacterial small subunit ribosomal RNA", at positions 342 to 917 of the family's 1533-position model. The record is from RNAcentral.